UACAGAGGAGGCAAGCGUUAUUCGGAAUCAUUGGGCUUAAAGCGCGUGUAGGCGGCUUGGUAAGCGUCCCGUGAAAUCUCACUGCUCAACGGUGAAACUGCGGGGCGAACUGCCUGGCUUGAGGUUGGUAGAGGUGCUUGGAACUCUAGGUGGAGCGGUGAAAUGCGUAGAUAUCUAGAGGAACACCAGAGGCGAAAGCGGGGCACUGGGCCAAUACUGACGCUGAGACGCGAAAGCGUGGGGAGCAAACAGG
This 253-nucleotide ribosomal RNA is filed under the name uncultured bacterium. Its description in RNAcentral is "partial 16S ribosomal RNA". It matches the Rfam family "Bacterial small subunit ribosomal RNA", at positions 524 to 776 of the family's 1533-position model. The record is from RNAcentral.